RNAcentral lists this non-coding RNA (23 nucleotides) under Arabidopsis thaliana (thale cress). The record is from RNAcentral. Lineage: Eukaryota; Viridiplantae; Streptophyta; Magnoliopsida; Brassicales; Brassicaceae.
GGCUUCCAAGACUCGGCUGAUGG